UGUUCUUCGUCAUCUUCUUCCUUCCAAUAAAAAAACAUGAAAAAUGCAUCUCUGAACUUCAAAAUGAAAAUGAGUAGUCAUUGUGCUCAGCUCUGAUCAUAGAUGCUAAAGUUGAGCUCAAAAUUCAGCAAUUUAAAUGGAGUGCAGAGAAAUUGGGCUUCAAAGUGAAGAACCCUAGAAUUUAAGAUCCAAAUGAAGCAUCUAUGGCGGAUAAAAAAAUGCAAUUAAACAUGAGGAAACAUUCAUUAGAUCCAGACGCUGAACAUGGUAUCAAGCUUGACUAAAAACGAAGGCUUGAACUACAUGUAAGGAAGCAAACUAAAAGGUACAAAAAUGCGGAUUCACAAGCUCAAACAGGUAAGUGCUUCACUCUAUUUUUCAUUUUAUCAGCUUCAUAGUAUGUGUGGGAUUGAUUAUGGGUAGUACAAGUAGUUGGAGAUGGUGUGUAUUGAUGAAUCUGAUAGCCUGCUUUGGUGUUGUUGUAGUGUAAAUUUGGAAGAACUUUCGUUGCUUUUCAAGCUUGCCUUCUUGAGUGAACUAUGAUGCUGUUAUAUAGGCUGAGUGAAGAGAGUUGGCACGUGUUAAUUUUUGUGCCAAAAUCGUGUGAACUUGUGAGAAUCAUGACUGAUUUGUGUGUAGGAUUCAUGAGCUGGAAAUGUGCAAUAAUGGUUCUCUUGUAAUGUAGAUUCUUUCCUGAAUUCAUGAGAUUGCUAGAAAAUGAUAAG
This 725-nucleotide long non-coding RNA is filed under the name Lathyrus oleraceus (garden pea). Its description in RNAcentral is "Pisum sativum (pea) long non-coding RNA (PSAT_LNC020671)". The record is from RNAcentral. Lineage: Eukaryota; Viridiplantae; Streptophyta; Magnoliopsida; Fabales; Fabaceae.